AGCGUUAGGUGCCCUCGAAGGCACGGGGGUGGAGUGUCAGCCGCAGCGUUAUCAUUUCUAGUUAGUGUUAGACACUAUUUGCUAAUUUUGUAUCAUACAGUGUUGUGCUAUCUGGCAACCCUUUUGCUCUUAAUCUAGGGCUGCAUCCUUAGCAUCUAUAGGCGAAUUUCUUCUAGCAUUGGGUGGCAUUUUUGAGUAACCAUACUUGCCGCCAGAUAUAGAUACAUUCUGUGUGUUACAACCUCAUAGAUGCGCAAUUUACGUAUAUCCAGCUACACUCACUGACAGUUUUAGGCUGGCAU
Molecule: non-coding RNA, 302 nt
Organism: Pelobates cultripes (western spadefoot toad)
Lineage: Eukaryota; Metazoa; Chordata; Amphibia; Anura; Pelobatidae
Source: the annotation of a GenBank genome assembly